Molecule: ribosomal RNA, 705 nt
Filed under: Triticum aestivum (bread wheat)
Lineage: Eukaryota; Viridiplantae; Streptophyta; Magnoliopsida; Poales; Poaceae
Description: partial small subunit ribosomal RNA
Source: RNAcentral
AUGAUUGAGACGGUUGCCUAUUUGAAAGAUAUACAGAAGACAGAUCCAGAAUUCUUCUACAAGGUCAAGUAUGAUGCAGAAGACAAGGUUGAGAAUAUACUCUAGGUUGAUGGACCAGCACGAAAAGCCUACAAAGAAGCCUAUCAUGAUUGCAUAUGCUUUGACACGACAUACAUGACUAACAUGUAUAACAUGCCGUUUUCUCCAUUCAUUGGGAUAAAUCGUCAUGGGCAGACGUUCAUGUUGGGGUGUGGCUUUGUUAGGCAGGAGUUAGAGACAAGUUUUGAUUGGUUGUUUGGUACAUUCCUUGAAGCAAUGGAUGGUCUAGCACCAGACAACAUAAUCACUGACCAAGAUUGGGCGAUGGCACAAUCCAUUGAAAACAUUUUCCCUACUUCUGUGCAUCGUCGAUGUCGGUGGCACAUAAUGAAGAAAGCUCAGGAAAAACUUGGCGGCUUAGUUGGAAGGAACCCAGGAUUGUCAAAAGAUUUCAAUGAUAUAGUUGACUUUAGCUUCAUAGGAGAAUUUGAGACAAAAUGGACAAGCUUCAAGGAUAAGUGGCCUUUUAUUGCUGGAACCCACUUUGAUAAGAUGUAUGAGUACCGGGCAACAUGGGGGCCGUGUUACUUCAAACACCAUUUUUUUCCUUCUUGUAGUCUACCCAGCGAGGCGAAGGUUUUAAUGCAGUUCUUAAGCGUUAUGUGA